RNAcentral lists this long non-coding RNA (254 nucleotides) under Linum usitatissimum (flax). RNAcentral describes it as "long non-coding RNA (LUSI_LNC003111)". The record is from RNAcentral. Lineage: Eukaryota; Viridiplantae; Streptophyta; Magnoliopsida; Malpighiales; Linaceae.
CUGGAGCUUUUAGGGUGAGAUAAUUUUUUAUUUUAUUUAAGUGGAUAAAUGAUUUAAUAUAUAAUAUUUUCUUUUUUUAAUUGAUAUUUAUUUUAUUCACUUUCAUAUUUUAUAUUAUUAUUUUUUAAUUGAGAACAAAUUUUUAUUAGUUUCUUUUUAUUUUUAUAAAGAUAAACUAUAUUCUUUUAUGUGAACGUAUCCUGAACUAGUUCACUUUCAUUUGCAUGUAGUCUUAAUCUAGUUCACUAUAUUUG